Calypte anna (Anna's hummingbird) is the source of this 642-nucleotide long non-coding RNA. RefSeq lists it as uncharacterized. The transcript has 3 exons. The record is from RefSeq and is a predicted model, not a curated record. Lineage: Eukaryota; Metazoa; Chordata; Aves; Apodiformes; Trochilidae.
GACAAACAUCCCCCGCCCCGCCGCCUCCGGGAGACACCGGGCGCAUGCUCCGGAGGGGCACGGGAACCAUGGUGUGAUCUGGGCAUCUUCUCCUUUCUCCAAGAGGAGGGCAGGGAAAGCAGCUGUUCUAUUGCUUGAAACAUCUGCAGGAAACAAGAGAGAUGAUGGAUAAAAAUGGCCCAAUACAUCAUCUAUUGUCAUGAAAGCCACCACGAUCAGGAUCUCUCAGGUCACAUCAACAGGGAGGAAAAAGCCUGGUGGAACUGGAUAUUUAUUUGGUGCAGCCCUUUUGGUUUCUGAAGCCUGCACAAAGGCUGUUGGUCCUUCCCAAAUUCCUGCUGUGCUGCCUUUCCUUGCUCCUGCUGCCUUCUCCUCUGGCCCUGCACCCUUGGGAUGCUCACACCAGGCCAGAGACAUGGAUUAGUGGAAAUCUAGGAAACAGGACCUACGAGGGAAGAAGAUAAGAAUUGGGUAUUUUGGUCCAGAGAGGAGAAGCCUGAGGAAGAGGAGGCAGCUGUGGAUCUCUGUCUGACCUCCAGACCUCCCUCAGCAGCUGCUUUUCCUGCACUGCUGUGAUAAGCACCCUCCAGUAAAUAAAAAGGAUAAAAAGCUGCCAUGAAGAGGAAGGGAAUAAACUCUUCU